AACUUUUCUCAAGAUGCCAGAAACAGCUGAGUGGUGUGUCCCACACGUGGGAUUUGUUACCAGAGGAACAUAUGGCCUCCAUGAUUUGUGCUCUAAGCUUGUAAGAGACCUAGAGGACCACUUCAAGUUUAACUUUCCUUUUUUCCCUUUCUCACUGCAGGAAAUAUCUUCAAAAAGGUAUUCUUGUUCAAUUCCUGGAUGUCACUAUUGUAGUACUGAGAACAUACAGGAAAAAAAUGAAAGCUAGACAGAAAGGGCAUAAUAAGGAUGGGCAAAACCUUCUUACCUGCAAGUGGAUUUAGCCAUUUCCUUUAUACUUGCAAAUAUCUACUCUCACCUAAGAAUACGUCUCCUCAUUACUUGUAAAUUAGACCACCAUCCGAAGCACAAAAAGAUUCUCUUACUAUGGAUGAAUCAUCCUCUCUCAUCUACCACACCAAGACCAAGACUAUAGAUAAUUAAAUUUUACAGAUUUCCACCACCAAAAAUGUAUACAUUUACCCAGUUCCAAACUGUAAUGUGUUUCAUUUCUCUGAGCUCUUGCACUCCACACUUGAGCACAUUAUAAAUCACUACCUAAAAAACCCUUCCUGUGCCUUCUGAAAAUUCUUUUUUCUGAGACAGUAUUAUAGACAGCUGUGUGGGAUAGAAAUUAAUACAUGGUCAGAAAAGGACUGGGCUCUUGAGAAAGUCAAUGAAAAAUACAGGUAUCAAAAUUGUGGCUGGAGGCACAUCUGAAGAAGACAGGCUUCAAAAUAAAGUCACAGUGACCCCACUGACACACUUACCUAAGGGAUAAGCAGCACUAUGAUUAGUACCACCAAGUUCAUUAGGUUCAGAUACUCAUCAGACACCUGGCUGGGUGACCAGAACCUCUGCACUCAUCCCUUCCCAAAAUGCUCCUGUUUUGGAAGUCAUAACUAAGCCAAGGCUAAUGAUAUCAACUAUGUACCCUGUUAAGUCCCCUUAUUUCCUAUUGGAUCAUCAUUGGCUAAGUGACUAUACUUGUAAUCCUACAAGUUGUAGUUUGACACUUGUAAGAUCCACACUGUAACUUUUAUUACAUUAAAUUACCCAAGCAAAGGACUUCAGUGGCAACCCACUCUGAAUCCCUGCUAUCACUCAGGAGUUACUCCGCAAUAAACUUUUUCUACUUCCAA
This is a long non-coding RNA of Cavia porcellus (domestic guinea pig), 1160 nucleotides long. RefSeq lists it as uncharacterized. Lineage: Eukaryota; Metazoa; Chordata; Mammalia; Rodentia; Caviidae. The record is from RefSeq and is a predicted model, not a curated record. The transcript is spliced from 3 exons.